AUGGUCUUAGCUUGCUAAGGCCGAUGGCGACCGGCGCACGGGUGAGUAACACGUAUCCAACCUGCCGUCUACUCUUGGACAGCCUUCUGAAAGGAAGAUUAAUACAAGAUGGCAUCAUGAGUCCGCAUGUCCGCAUGAUUAAAGGUAUUUUCCGGUAGACGAUGGGGAUGCGUUCCAUUAGUUUGUUGGCGGGGUAACGGCCCACCAAGACUACGAUGGAUAGGGGUUCUGAGAGGAAGGUCCCCACAUUGGAACUGAGACACGGUCCAAACUCC
This 275-nucleotide ribosomal RNA is filed under the name uncultured Bacteroides sp. RNAcentral's name for it is "partial 16S ribosomal RNA". It matches the Rfam family "Bacterial small subunit ribosomal RNA", at positions 69 to 339 of the family's 1533-position model. The record is from RNAcentral. Lineage: Bacteria; Pseudomonadati; Bacteroidota; Bacteroidia; Bacteroidales; Bacteroidaceae.